CAGUUAAAAAGCUCGUAGUUGGAUUCCUGACCUGGGGUAGCCGGUCCGCCUUGCGAAAGGUGCGCACUGAGCGGCCUCGGUCAUCCUUGAGAAGAGCGGUCCUGGCAUUCAGUUGUCGGGGUCGGGAUUCUCGACGUUUACUGUGAAAAAAUCAGAGUGUUCAACGCAGGCUUACGCCUUGAAUACAUUAGCAUGGAAUAAUGAGAUAGGACCUUGGCGGUCUAUUUUGUCGGUUUGCACGCCGAGGUAAUGAUUAAAAGGGACGGUUGGGGUUCUUCGUAU
Molecule: ribosomal RNA, 282 nt
Filed under: uncultured marine eukaryote
Lineage: Eukaryota
Description: partial 18S ribosomal RNA
Rfam family: Eukaryotic small subunit ribosomal RNA
Source: RNAcentral